Molecule: non-coding RNA, 84 nt
Organism: Coniochaeta pulveracea
Lineage: Eukaryota; Fungi; Ascomycota; Sordariomycetes; Coniochaetales; Coniochaetaceae
Source: the annotation of a GenBank genome assembly
UCUCCCCUAGCUCAGCUGGUUAGAGCGUUCGACUGUUAAUCCAUUGCAAUCGAGAGGUCGACAGUUCAAUCCUGUCGGGGAGAG